RNAcentral lists this ribosomal RNA (494 nucleotides) under uncultured bacterium. RNAcentral's name for it is "partial 16S ribosomal RNA". It matches the Rfam family "Bacterial small subunit ribosomal RNA", at positions 28 to 507 of the family's 1533-position model. The record is from RNAcentral.
GACGAACGCUGGCGGCGUGCCUAAUACAUGCAAGUAGAACGCUGAAGGAGGAGCUUGCUUCUCUGGAUGAGUUGCGAACGGGUGAGUAACGCGUAGGUAACCUGCCUGGUAGCGGGGGAUAACUAUUGGAAACGAUAGCUAAUACCCAUAAUAGCAGUUAUUGCAUGAUAACUGUUUGAAAGGUGCAAUUGCACCACUACCAGAUGGACCUGCGUUGUAUUAGCUAGUUGGUGGGGUAACGGCUCACCAAGGCGACGAUACAUAGCCGACCUGAGAGGGUGAUCGGCCACACUGGGACUGAGACACGGCCCAGACUCCUACGGGAGGCAGCAGUAGGGAAUCUUCGGCAAUGGACGGAAGUCUGACCGAGCAACGCCGCGUGAGUGAAGAAGGUUUUCGGAUCGUAAAGCUCUGUUGUAAGAGAAGAACGAGUGUGAGAGUGGAAAGUUCACACUGUGACGGUAUCUUACCAGAAAGGGACGGCUAACUACGUG